UGGGGAAUUUUGCGCAAUGGGCGAAAGCCUGACGCAGCAAUACCGCGUGAGUGAUGAAGGCUCUUGGGUCGUAAAGCUCUGUCAGAGGGGAAGAACCUCCUGUCGUUUAAUAUGCGGCAGGCCUGACGGUACCCUCAAAGGAAGCACCGGCUAACUCCGUGCCAGCAGCCGCGGUAAUACGGAGGGUGCAAGCGUUGUUCGGAAUUAUUGGGCGUAAAGAGCAUGUAGGCGGCUCGCCAAGUCUGAUGUGAAAGCCCUGGGCUCAACCCAGGAAGUGCAUUGGAAACUGGCGAACUUGAGUACGGGAGAGGAAAGUGGAAUUUCGAGUGUAGGAGUGAAAUCCGUAGAUAUUCGAAGGAACACCAGUGGCGAAGGCGGCUUUCUGGACCGAUACUGACGCUGAGAUGCGAAAGCGUGGGGAGCAAACA
This 428-nucleotide ribosomal RNA is filed under the name uncultured bacterium. RNAcentral describes it as "bacterial SSU rRNA". It matches the Rfam family "Bacterial small subunit ribosomal RNA", at positions 355 to 774 of the family's 1533-position model. The record is from RNAcentral.